CCUACGGGAGGCAGCAGUGGGGGAUAUUGCACAAUGGGGGGAACCCUGAUGCAGCGACGCCGCGUGGGUGAAGAAGCGCCUCGGCGCGUAAAGCCCUGUCAGCAGGGAAGAAAAUGACGGUACCUGAAGAAGAAGCCCAGGAUAACUACGUGCCAGCAGCCGCGGUAAUACGUAGGGGGCAAGCGUUAUCCGGAUUUACUGGGUGGAAAGGGGGCGCAGACGGCGAUGCAAGCCAGGAGUGAAAGUCCAUGGCUUAACCAUGGUACUGCUCUGGAAACUGUGGAGCUUGAGUGCGGGAGGGGCAGGCGGAAUUCCUAGUGUAGCGGUGAAAUGCGUAGAUAUUAGGAGGAACACCGGCGGCGAAGGCGGCCUGCUGGACCGUAACUGACGUUGAGGCUCGAAAGCGUGGGGAGCAAACAGGAUUAGAUACCCCUGUAGUC
RNAcentral lists this ribosomal RNA (440 nucleotides) under uncultured bacterium. Its description in RNAcentral is "partial 16S ribosomal RNA". It matches the Rfam family "Bacterial small subunit ribosomal RNA", at positions 338 to 795 of the family's 1533-position model. The record is from RNAcentral.